ACGACUUGCAGUGGAGCCCGUGCGUCGGUUUCGGCCGUUCGUGCGGACCUGCAAUGUUCUGGCUGGUGCUCGACGGUGUGACUAUUGGCACAGGGCGCAAAUUUUUGCGUUCGACCCGUUUCAAGCGCGUGUGGUCACCCUUUCCUCGGACAUGUGCCGUGAUCGGAGCCGUGCGGCUGUUUGUUGCGGUGUUCUUGAACAGUCUCUGUUUGCCUGUCAGCGGCGCUAUUGCUUUGGGUACUUUCAGGACCCGUCUUGAAACACGGACCAAGGAGUCUAGCAUGUGCGCGAGUCAUUGGGACUAACGAAUCCUAAAGGCGUAAUGAAAGUAAAGCUGAGUCUAGAGCUCGGUUAGGGAAGAUGGGUGACUUUGUCGCCUCGCACUCCCGGGGCGUCUCGUUCUCAUUGCGAGUUGAGGCGUACCUUGAGCGUACACGCUGGGA
Molecule: ribosomal RNA, 443 nt
Filed under: Aleochara littoralis
Lineage: Eukaryota; Metazoa; Arthropoda; Insecta; Coleoptera; Staphylinidae
Description: eukaryotic LSU rRNA
Rfam family: Eukaryotic large subunit ribosomal RNA
Source: RNAcentral